Molecule: ribosomal RNA, 513 nt
Filed under: uncultured bacterium
Lineage: Bacteria
Description: bacterial SSU rRNA
Rfam family: Bacterial small subunit ribosomal RNA
Source: RNAcentral
ACGCUGGCGGCGUGCCUAAUACAUGCAAGUCGAACGGUCUUUCUAUGGAAGCUUGCUUCCACUGAGAAGAUAGUGGCGAGCGGGUGAGUAACACGUGGGUAACCUGCCCAUAAGAGGGGGGAUAACAUCCGGAAACGGGUGCUGAUACCGCAUAGUUUUCUUGAUCGCAUGAUCGGGAAAGGAAAGACGGCCUUUGUGCUGUCGCUUAUGGAUGGACCCGCGGCGUAUUAGUUAGUUGGUGAGGUAACGGCUCACCAAGACGAUGAUACGUAGCCGACCUGAGAGGGUGAUCGGCCACAUUGGGACUGAGACACGGCCCAAACUCCUACGGGAGGCAGCAGUAGGGAAUCUUCCGCAAUGGACGAAAGUCUGACGGAGCAACGCCGCGUGAGUGAAAGAAGGUUUUCGGAUCGUAAAACUCUGUUGUCAGAGAAGAACAAGUUGGAGAGUAACUGCCCCAGCCUUGACGGUAUCUGACCAGAAAGCCACGGCUAACUACGUGCCAGCAGCCGC